UAAAUUCAUUUGAAGCAGUUGUAAGUGAACUGUAAUUUUGACAGUUGAGUUAACUAUUUACAAGCAAUUAAACAAUCCACUAACACAUUUUGUUACGCCACUGCCCCGAAACCGGUCUUUAUAUGUGAACAAUUAGGCUCCGCCCUGGUGUGUGCUUACCUAAUUUACUCCACUAUAAAUCGUAGAGUCAUGGUAAUGACAGAACGUCCACGGUGGUAGGAGUGCGCAGAGACGAAAACUCGUGGCGGACGAGUCCAUUAGUAGAUUCGGGGGUUUUGUUAUCGAGCAUUGGCGUGGCGUGUAUUUUUGUGUAUAAAGAAUUCAUUGUAAUUUUUAACAAUGCAUCGUUAACAUUUAUGGUAAAGAUAUCAUUAGCUAUCCUUUUUGUACUAAACGUGUUUUUACUCGUUACUCAUUGUGUUUUUGUUAUUUAUUGGAGAUUUUUGCUUUGUAUUUAAACAGGGUGAUUUCUUAAAAACGCACCACCUUGAAUAUCUCCGAAAAUAAACAAAAAAUUAAAAACCCCGAGAGAGGUCAAUUUGUAUUUAAAGGAAGGCACCCUUUACUGUACUUUUAAAAAUUGUAGCACCAGUCCCUUUUGUAAUACAAACAACUCCUUCAGAAUUUUAAAUGGCAUCACCCCUUGUGUGAUACUUCAGAUGAAAUGUACAGUACUCCAAGCGAAAUAGUAAAGAUUGACUAAUUGCAACAAUACACUUGGGAACAGAAAAUGAUUAGUGUACAGUAAAAUGCAAAUUAGGGUUUCUUUGGGUAAAGAUGUUUGUUGCUCACUUCGUCUCACGUUUCAAAACAAAUGUUGUUAUGAACAGAUAUGGGGCCUUAGCAGGUAAAGAGUAAAAUAGGUACCAAGUCUGAAAUCCAUUAAUCUACCAAAAUUUACUUAACUUUCUAAAAUUACCAACAUUGGUCCUUCUGAAAAAUAUCAGUUACUAACAAGUUUUCGUACGGGACAGUUGUUAUAGUUUGCAAAAUGCGGAGACGUUGGAACAGUGACGAGCCGAUUGACUUUAAUAUUGAUAACAAUGUGAUUAAUCAAGAAAUGGUACCUAUUGACGAUGAACAACUUCAAUUAGGAGAUUAUGAUUCGGCCAAUUCAAAACAAACAAAAAGGAAGCAUUUGUCUGACGAUGCAAAAAGUUUGGUUAAUACUUUAUAUAAGAAUUAAUUAGAACGAAAAUUUAAAACCCCUAUAAAAUUUACGGCCGAUCUACUUAAAUUAUCACAAUCCACAAUACAUAAAAUAAUUAACCAAGAGAAAGAAAAUUUUGGAAGGAAGAAAUAUUCACGCGCUUCAGUUUUUGAAACAAUACAUGAAAGUGAAAUUGAUGAAAUAAAAUAUACAGUGUAUCCAAUGUAGGUAUAAAGAAAAUAAUGUACCUACAACUGAGGCAAUUAAAAAAAGACUAAUGGAAGGACAAAUUCUGAUUAAUUAUUCAGAAGCAACUUUAAGAAAAAAUUUACGCCACAUCGGGUUUACUUACAAAAAACUUAACAAAAGGAUUAGUGUGAUGAUUCGACGAAAAGCGGAAAAAAUAGAUUAUGUGUUGUGGAGAAAUUGUAUCCGUCACGUAAUUAGUGUAGAAGACAGUUUUUUAAUUACACGAGAUUUUCCUUAAUUUAUUAUUAAUCUUAAUGACGACGACGAUGACGACAACGAUGCUGUUUUUGGGAUAGAUCUGUAAUUGUUUUCAUAAAUUUUUAUUGUAUAGGUAAUUUAUUGUAAAUUAAUUAUAUAUAUAUAAAAUAAAUAUAUCUAAUUAA
Molecule: RNA transcript, 1782 nt
Organism: Tribolium castaneum (red flour beetle)
Lineage: Eukaryota; Metazoa; Arthropoda; Insecta; Coleoptera; Tenebrionidae
Exons: 2
Source: RefSeq, a predicted model, not a curated record